RNAcentral lists this ribosomal RNA (447 nucleotides) under Clostridioides difficile. RNAcentral's name for it is "partial 23S ribosomal RNA". It matches the Rfam family "Bacterial large subunit ribosomal RNA", at positions 1 to 449 of the family's 2925-position model. Lineage: Bacteria; Bacillati; Bacillota; Clostridia; Peptostreptococcales; Peptostreptococcaceae. The record is from RNAcentral.
UGGUCAAGUUAUUAAGGGUGCAGGGUGGAUGCCUUGGCACUAGGAGCCGAUGAAGGACGUGAUAAGCUGCGAUAAGCUUCGGGGAGUUGCACGUAAACUUUGAUCCGAAGAUUUCCGAAUGAGGAAACUCACUUAGAGUAAUGUCUAAGUAUCAUUAAGUGAAUACAUAGCUUAAUGAGGGGAACUCAGGGAACUGAAACAUCUAAGUACCUGAAGGAAGAGAAAGAAAUUCGAUUCCGUAAGUAGCGGCGAGCGAACGCGGAUUAGCCCAAACCAAUAAAGUUUUCUUUAUUGGGGUUGCGGACAUAUCAUAACGAAGAGGUAUCGUAAUUGAAGAGGUUUGGAAAGACCCACCACAGAAGGUAAUAGUCCUGUAUGUUAAACGAGAAGACUUCAGAUAUGAUCCAGAGUACCACGGGACACGUGAAACCCUGUGGGAAGCAGGAG